CCUACGGGAGACAGCAGUGAGGAAUAUUGGUCAAUGGGAGAGAUCCUGACCAGCCAAGCCGCGUGAGGGAAGACGGCCCUAUGGAUUGUAAAACUCUUUUGUCGGGGAGCAAAAGACGCCACGCGUGGCGGUCCGAGAGUACCCGAAGAAAAAGCAUCGGCUAACUCCGUGCCAGCAGCCGCGGUAAUACGGAGGAUGCGAGCGUUAGCCGGAUUUAUUGGGUUUAAAGGGUGCGCAGGCGGAAGAUCAAGUCAGCGGUAAAAUUGAGAGGCUCAACCUCUUCGAGCCGUUGAAACUGGUUUUCUUGAGUGAGCGAGAAGUAUGCGGAAUGCGUGGUGUAGCGGUGAAAUGCAUAGAUAUCACGCAGAACUCCGAUUGCGAAGGCAGCAUACCGGCGCUCAACUGACGCUCAUGCACGAAAGUGUGGGUAUCGAACAGGAUUAGAUACCCUUGUAGUC
This 458-nucleotide ribosomal RNA is filed under the name uncultured bacterium. Its description in RNAcentral is "partial 16S ribosomal RNA". It matches the Rfam family "Bacterial small subunit ribosomal RNA", at positions 338 to 795 of the family's 1533-position model. The record is from RNAcentral.